GGUGUCGGGGGGCCGGCGGCGUCGGUGAUCGGGAGGGUGUGGGGGGUUUCGGUAAUUAUGGGGCGUAAAGAGCGUGUAGAUGGUUUGUCGCAGCGGCAGCGAAAAGCCGGGGCUCAACCCCGGACUUGCAGUGGGUACGGGCGGACUAGAGUAUGGUAGGGGAGACUGGAAGUCCUGGUGUAGCGGUGAAAUGCGCAGAUAUCAGGAGGAACACCGAUGGCGAAGGCAGGUCUCUGGGCCACUACUGACGCUGAGAAGCGAAAGCAUGGGGAGCGAACAGGAUUAGAUACCCUGGUAGUC
This 300-nucleotide ribosomal RNA is filed under the name uncultured Pyrobaculum sp. Its description in RNAcentral is "bacterial SSU rRNA". The stretch from base 52 to 300 matches the Rfam family "Bacterial small subunit ribosomal RNA", at positions 547 to 795 of the family's 1533-position model. The record is from RNAcentral. Lineage: Archaea; Thermoproteati; Thermoproteota; Thermoprotei; Thermoproteales; Thermoproteaceae.